CCUACGGGCGGCAGCAGUGGGGAAUAUUGGGCCAUGGGCGCAAGCCUGACCCAGCAAUGCCGCGUGAAGGAAGAAGGCUUUCGGGUUGUAAACUUCUUUGACAGGGGAAGAGCAGAAGACGGUACCCUGAAAACAAGCCACGGCUAACUACGUGCAAGCAGCCGCGGUAAUACGUAGGUGGCAAGCGUUGUCCGGAUUUACUGGGUGUAAAGGGCGUGUAGCCGGGAAGGCAAGUCAGAUGUGAAAUCUGGAGGCUCAACCUCCAAAUUGCAUUUGAAACUGUUUUUCUUGAGUACUGGAGAGGCAGACGGAAUUCCUUGUGUAGCGGUGAAAUGCGUAGAGAUAAGGAGGAAGACCAGUGGCGAAGGCGGUCUGCUGGACAGCAACUGACGGUGAGGCGCGAAAGCGUGGGGAGCAAACAGGAUUAGAUACCCUUGUAGUC
RNAcentral lists this ribosomal RNA (442 nucleotides) under uncultured bacterium. Its description in RNAcentral is "partial 16S ribosomal RNA". It matches the Rfam family "Bacterial small subunit ribosomal RNA", at positions 338 to 795 of the family's 1533-position model. The record is from RNAcentral.